GCGUUGUCCGGAAUUAUUGGGCGUAAAGGGCUCGUAGGCGGUCCAUCGCGUCGGGAGUGAAAAGCUGGGGCUCAACCCCAGUCCUGCUUCCGAUACGGGUGGACUAGAGGUAGGUAGGGGAGAUCGGAAUUCCUGGUGUAGCGGUGAAAUGCGCAGAUAUCAGGAGGAACACCGGUGGCGAAGGCGGAUCUCUGGGCCUUACCUGACGCUGAGGAGCGAAAGCAUG
Molecule: ribosomal RNA, 226 nt
Filed under: uncultured bacterium
Lineage: Bacteria
Description: partial 16S ribosomal RNA
Rfam family: Bacterial small subunit ribosomal RNA
Source: RNAcentral